Molecule: non-coding RNA, 73 nt
Organism: Ohtaekwangia koreensis
Lineage: Bacteria; Pseudomonadati; Bacteroidota; Cytophagia; Cytophagales; Fulvivirgaceae
Source: Rfam
GCCUCCUUAGCUCAGCUGGUAGAGCAACUGACUUGUAAUCAGUAGGUCGUUGGUUCGAUUCCGACAGGGGGCU